UUCCUGUAAAAUGAGGAUAUUAAUAAUGAUAUGAAGAUGAUGAUGAUGAUGAUGAUGAUGAUGAUGAUGAUAAAUCAGCUGUGAGGAUUAAAUGUACUAACAGAGGGAUUACUGGAAAGAAUGCUUUCUUGCACAAAAGUGCCCUGAGCGACUAUUAUGGACAACACAAAGACAGCCUCUUUUCUUCAGUUCUUACCAUCCUCAAUUAGACAAAGAAAAACAGCACAAUCACAUCCUAAGUCUGUCUCUGCCAUCGGAGGGGAAUCAUAUUCUCUUCCCAAACAAAUUCUUGCAAAGAUGGAAAAAUGGAACAGGAUUUUUAAAGUAAGAUGAAAAUUGUCUAAUUAUAAAGGUAAUUAAGAAGAAUUUUACAAAAAAGAGGUGAAAGAGUCUUUACUGCCUUCACUCCUUAGUUACAAGACCAUAUGGAUGGAGUUAGUUCAUCAGAUGCAGAGAAAAAAACAGAAGACCUGAGGAUUGGUAAUUUCUUCCAAGGGCUAUCAGCUCCAAGUGUAGAAGCUAAACUGGAUCUAUUACCUUGUCCUCCCUCCAUCUAUUGCUGUCAAAAUGUGGCCUCUGGAUUUUCUUGGGAGAGGUAGACAUGUGUUAGUACUAUGUUUUGAAGUCAUCUCAACCCUCAUUUGAAUUGCUGGUUCUGGUAGGUUUUCCAUUGUCCUCAUU
Molecule: non-coding RNA, 681 nt
Organism: Peromyscus maniculatus bairdii (prairie deer mouse)
Lineage: Eukaryota; Metazoa; Chordata; Mammalia; Rodentia; Cricetidae
Source: RefSeq, a predicted model, not a curated record